This 747-nucleotide ribosomal RNA is filed under the name uncultured bacterium. RNAcentral describes it as "bacterial SSU rRNA". It matches the Rfam family "Bacterial small subunit ribosomal RNA", at positions 67 to 789 of the family's 1533-position model. The record is from RNAcentral.
AGAAACUCCGGGCUUGCUCGGAGGAGUAAAGUGGCGAACGGGUGAGUAACGCGUGGGCAACCUGCCCCUGAAUCUGGGAUAACCUCGCGAAAGCGUUGCUAAUACCGGAUAUUGUCCCGAGAACCGUGGUCCUCGGGAUGAAAGGUGACCUAUCCAUGGAAGUUGCCGUUCAGGAUGGGGCCCGCGUACCAUUAGCUUGUUGGUGGGGUAAUGGCCCACCAAGGCGACGAUGGUUAGCUGGUCUGAGAGGAUGAUCAGCCACACUGGAACUGAAACACGGUCCAGACUCCUACGGGAGGCAGCAGUGAGGAAUUUUGCGCAAUGGGGGAAACCCUGACGCAGCAACGCCGCGUGAGUGAAGAAGGCUUUCGGGUCGUAAAGCUCUGUCAAAGGGGAAAAAAGCCUCCCGAUUAAUAGUCGGGAGGACUGAUGGUACCCUUAGAGGAAGCACCGGCUAACUCCGUGCCAGCAGCCGCGGUAAUACGGAGGGUGCAAGCGUUGUUCGGAAUUACUGGGCGUAAAGAGCGUGUAGGCGGUUUGGCAAGUCAGAUGUGAAAGCCCUGGGCUCAACCCAGGAAGUGCAUUUGAAACUGCCAUUCUAGAGUAUGGGAGAGGAGAGUGGAAUUCCCAGUGUAGAGGUGAAAUUCGUAGAUAUUGGGAGGAACACCCGUGGCGAAGGCGACUCUCUGGACCAAUACUGACGCUGAGACGCGAAAGCGUGGGGAGCAAACAGGAUUAGAUACCCUG